AACAAGGUGAUGAAUGAAAAAGUUAGGCAGACAUAAGUUCUGGCUCUAAAAAUGAACUGUGGAGCAACUGCAGCUGCCGCAGCAACAGGGCAGCCUGCCUUGGAGACAGGGAGCUCCCUCCCGUAGCUGGAAAUUUUUCUAUUUCCAGUGGAAUGAACAACGGCAAGGUACGUUGAGGAAGACAUUUCUGAGUUUAGUGGCGUAUUAUAUAUACAAGGUCAACAUUUUUGAAAGCGUUGUACCUGGACCACAGCGUAUAUGUGAUAACUUUAGGUGGUACAAUCUCUAAAAUUUUUAAUUGGUUUAUAUUUAUUUUUACAUGUAUCUGGUGUGUUGCUCUAUAACUAGCAACUCUUAUACUCUUAAGAUACAAAGGUAGUAUUGCUAAAAUUACAAAUAAACUUUGGGCAAUGGUGUGCUUGAUGACUUCUAAAGUCUCCUCAAAACCGAGACUCUAUAUACAGUUCUAGAUGUAAUCUCAAUAUUACUAAAUUUUCAUUUAUUACAAGCAAUUUAAACACAAGCUAAGUUCAGGUAUCAUAGAAUUUGAGUAGUUGGAGCUUGGUAGAAUCCCGUGAAAACUCAGCUAAAAAUGAGACCCCCAAGCCCCAGAUGAAGAUGCAGCCUGAAACUAUAUACAACUAGAAAAAGUUACCAGGGGCACCCCCUCUCCCCACGAUCCCCUUUAACGGCCGGCAGUCUGCAGGAGGAGCACAGCAGGCUGUGUUUGCAUGCGCCCCUGUCCUUCUGUGGCCAUCACGAAUCCACCAGCCAGUCCUCCGUACUCAGAGGUGAAUAUUUAUUUAACUCAUAUAUGAAUUUUACAUGAUAUCCAUGGUGCUAUAAACAUAGGCACAUUUUUUUUUAACUCAAGGUACAUUCCAAAAUGACUCCCUCACCCUACCCCCUCCAAUCCCUUAAGACAGAACAUCUAGUAUUUGUAAAACAAAGGCCUGAGAGGCCCUGGCACGUGGAUUUUAGGGGCUGGCUUCCGACUUCAGCCCAGAGAGGCCAACAAGCUUAAACAAAGGAGCAUGCAUCUUUCAGCCUUUUCAUUCCAUCAGCUGAUAGAAUUAAUUAAAUGCCUCUGCCCGGAUGGAUGGUUUUUAAUAGGUGUAUGUUUUUGUUCCUCCUACCCAGUUCCAGUCAGAAAACAAGUAUUGGUAACUAUGUUACCAUUGGCCUUGUCUAAACCCCAGUGGCAUGGCUUGAAGAUGUGCCACCCAG
Molecule: long non-coding RNA, 1227 nt
Organism: Phyllostomus discolor (pale spear-nosed bat)
Lineage: Eukaryota; Metazoa; Chordata; Mammalia; Chiroptera; Phyllostomidae
Exons: 2
Source: RefSeq, a predicted model, not a curated record